CCACCACUAAGCCAGUGGUGAACUCCACAUACGCAUCCUUUGCUGAGGAUACGGUUAACGGAGCGAAAGCGACGUUCAACCGCAAAAGAAGCAGAGGGGGCUUAGUGGUGGGGUGACUGCGUACCUUUUGUAUAAUGGGUCAGCGACUUAUAUUCUGUAGCAAGGUUAACCGUAUAGGGGAGCCGAAGGGAAACCGAGUCUUAACUGGGCGUUAAGUUGCAGGGUAUAGACCCGAAACCCGGUGAUCUAGCCAUGGGCAGGUUGAAGGUUGGGUAACACUAACUGGAGGACCGAACCGACUAAUGUUGAAAAAUUAGCGGAUGACUUGUGGCUGGGGGUGAAAGGCCAAUCAAACCGGGAGAUAGCUGGUUCUCCCCGAAAGCUAUUUAGGUAGCGCCUCGUGAACUCAUCUUCGGGGGUAGAGCACUGUUUCGGCUAGGGGGUCAUCCCGACUUACCAACCCGAUGCAAACUGCGAAUACCG
RNAcentral lists this ribosomal RNA (483 nucleotides) under Salmonella enterica subsp. enterica serovar Newport. Its description in RNAcentral is "partial 23S ribosomal RNA". It matches the Rfam family "Bacterial large subunit ribosomal RNA", at positions 1 to 965 of the family's 2925-position model. The record is from RNAcentral. Lineage: Bacteria; Pseudomonadati; Pseudomonadota; Gammaproteobacteria; Enterobacterales; Enterobacteriaceae.